Molecule: ribosomal RNA, 450 nt
Filed under: uncultured bacterium
Lineage: Bacteria
Description: partial 16S ribosomal RNA
Rfam family: Bacterial small subunit ribosomal RNA
Source: RNAcentral
GUGGGGAAUAUUGGACAAUGGGCGAAAGCCUGAUCCAGCCAUGCCGCGUGUGUGAAGAAGGUCUUCGGAUUGUAAAGCACUUUAAGUUGGGAGGAAGGGCAGUAAGUUAAUACCUUGCUGUUUUGACGUUACCGACAGAAUAAGCACCGGCUAACUUCGUGCCAGCAGCCGCGGUAAUACGAAGGGUGCAAGCGUUAAUCGGAAUUACUGGGCGUAAAGCGCGCGUAGGUGGUGUUAUAAGUUGGAGGUGAAAUCCCCGGGCUCAACCUGGGAACUGCCUCCAAAACUGCAUGACUAGAGUACGGUAGAGGGUAGUGGAAUUUCCUGUGUAGCGGUGAAAUGCGUAGAUAUAGGAAGGAACACCAGUGGCGAAGGCGACUACCUGGACUGAUACUGACACUGAGGUGCGAAAGCGUGGGGAGCAAACAGGAUUAGAAACCCGAGUAGUCC